RNAcentral lists this long non-coding RNA (967 nucleotides) under Olea europaea subsp. europaea. Lineage: Eukaryota; Viridiplantae; Streptophyta; Magnoliopsida; Lamiales; Oleaceae. The record is from RNAcentral.
AUCCAGCACAAAUAGGAGCUUUAUUCUUUAAAAUAUAAAGCGCAUCAUGCGCAGAGUUUACAGAAUAACCCUGUCAUAUUAAACGAGAAACAAAAAUCAAAUUCCACUUCAUCUGGGGGACAUAAUAACAGUUUUUAAGAAUUAAACGCCUACCACUAUUGAAAUAAAAGUAAAUUACUCCUACUGCUCUUGCUGAUACUAUAGCUCCUGUGCCGAUAGUAAUUUUAAACUGGCCUUUCUGAGCCUUCUGCUCUCCUGAAGCACCUGCAUAGACAUGUAUAUAUGAUUAGUGGCUCUAGAGUCUACAACCCAUAAAUUUGUAGAAUCAACCACCAAACAUGACUCAGCAAUAAAGAACUCACCAACACCCAACUUUUUAGGUUGUGCAUCAGGGCAGUCUUUCUUCCAGUGUCUUUUACGACCAUAGUGGAAACACUUGCCUUUCGGCGUUCCAUCUGAUUUGGGCUUUUUGUUGCUUUCUGGCUUCUUGUUUAGAUCUUUUCCUCUUCUUUCCAAUUUCGCCUUUCGGCUUGGAGCCAGAGGAGCUAGCAAUUACCGUAUGAGCAUGGCCACCCUUACCCUUGAGACUACUUUACACAUUUUGCAACUCAUUCACCAACUCAGUUAAUGACAUAUUCAUCUUGUGCAAGUGAUAGUCUACAGUAAACUGUGAAAAUAUAUCAGAUAAAGAAUUCAAUACCAUAUCAACUUGAAUUUCCUGAUCAAUAGUUGCACCCAGAUUCUCCGCCACGUGGAAGUGUACAAUCAUAGUCAACAUAUGAUCCUUCAUAGGCGUUUCGGGUUUCAUGCGGAUGUUCUGUAAGGUACGAAUGGCUUCAAAACGAGCCCUCCUACUUUGAUGUCCAAACAUGCCCUUCAGGCUUUCUAGUAGGUCAUAAAAGGUCUCCUGACUUUCAAGCUUUUGCCGUAAUACGUUUGACAUGGAUGCUAAAAUGUAACAGCGAAC